GAUGAACGCUGGCGGCGUGCCUAAUACAUGCAAGUCGAGCGAACGGACGAGAAGCUUGCUUCUCUGAUGUUAGCGGCGGACGGGUGAGUAACACGUGGAUAACCUACCUAUAAGACUGGGAUAACUUCGGGAAACCGGAGCUAAUACCGGAUAAUAUUUUGAACCGCAUGGUUCAAAAGUGAAAGACGGUCUUGCUGUCACUUAUAGAUGGAUCCGCGCUGCAUUAGCUAGUUGGUAAGGUAACGGCUUACCAAGGCAACGAUGCAUAGCCGACCUGAGAGGGUGAUCGGCCACACUGGAACUGAGACACGGUCCAGACUCCUACGGGAGGCAGCAGUAGGGAAUCUUCCGCAAUGGGCGAAAGCCUGACGGAGCAACGCCGCGUGAGUGAUGAAGGUCUUCGGAUCGUAAAACUCUGUUAUUAGGGAAGAACAUAUGUGUAAGUAACUGUGCAUAUCUUGACGGUACCUAAUCAGAAAGCCACGGCUAACUACGU
This 496-nucleotide ribosomal RNA is filed under the name uncultured bacterium. RNAcentral's name for it is "partial 16S ribosomal RNA". It matches the Rfam family "Bacterial small subunit ribosomal RNA", at positions 28 to 506 of the family's 1533-position model. The record is from RNAcentral.